Molecule: ribosomal RNA, 465 nt
Filed under: uncultured bacterium
Lineage: Bacteria
Description: partial 16S ribosomal RNA
Rfam family: Bacterial small subunit ribosomal RNA
Source: RNAcentral
CUACGGGGCGCUGCAGUGAGGAAUUUUGCGCAAUGGGGGAAACCCUGACGCAGCAACGCCGCGUGAGUGAAGAAGGCCCUUGGGUCGUAAAGCUCUGUCAAUGGGGAAGAAGUUAUUAUGUGUUAAUAGCACAUUUUAUUGACGGUACCCAUGAAGGAAGCACCGGCUAACUCCGUGCCAGCAGCCGCGGUAAUACGGGGGGUGCAAGCGUUAUUCGGAAUUAUUGGGCGUAAAGGGCACGCAGGCGGUCCUGUCAGUCAGAUGUGUAAGCCCGGGGCGCAACCCCGGACGUGCAUUUGAAACAGCAGGACUUGAGUACGGGAGAGGAAAGGGGAAUUCCUGGUGUAGAGGUGAAAUUCGUAGAUAUCAGGAGGAACACCGGUGGCGAAGGCGCCUUUCUGGACCGAUACUGACGCUGAGGUGCGAAGGCGUGGGUAGCAAACGGGAUUAGAUACCCGGGUAGUC